GACGAACGCUGGCGGCGUGCUUAACACAUGCAAGUCGAACGGAAAGGCCCUGCUUUUGUGGGGUGCUCGUGUGGCGAACGGGUGAGUAACACGUGAGUAUCCUGCCCUUGACUUUGGGAUAACUUCAGGAAACUGGGGCUCAUACCGGAUAGGAGCUCCUGCUGCAUGGUGGGGGUUGGAAAGUUUCGGCGGUUGGGUAUGGACUCGCGGCUUAUCAGCUUGUUGGUGGGGUAGUGGCUUACCAAGGCUUUGACGGGUAGCCGGCCUGAGAGGGUGACCGGCCACAUUGGGACUGAGAUACGGCCCAGACUCCUACGGGAGGCAGCAGUGGGGAAUAUUGCACGAUGGGCGGAAGCCUGAUGCAGCAACGCCGCGGGCGGGAUGACGGCCUUCGGGUUGUAAACCGCUUUCGCCUGUGACGAAGCGUGAGUGACGGUAAUGGGUAAAGAAGCACCGGCUAACUACGUG
This 468-nucleotide ribosomal RNA is filed under the name uncultured bacterium. RNAcentral's name for it is "partial 16S ribosomal RNA". It matches the Rfam family "Bacterial small subunit ribosomal RNA", at positions 28 to 507 of the family's 1533-position model. The record is from RNAcentral.